UACGUAGGGGGCAAGCGUUGUCCGGAAUCAUUGGGCGUAAAGCGCGUGUAGGCGGCUGAGUAAGUCUGCUCUGAAAGCCCGGGGCUCAACCCCGGGAGGCGGGUGGAUACUGCUCAGCUCGAGUCCGGAAGAGGAGUGUGGAAUUCCUGGUGUAGCGGUGAAAUGCGCAGAUAUCAGGAAGAACACCCGUGGCGAAGGCGGCUCUCUGGGGACGGUACUGACG
RNAcentral lists this ribosomal RNA (223 nucleotides) under uncultured bacterium. RNAcentral describes it as "partial 16S ribosomal RNA". It matches the Rfam family "Bacterial small subunit ribosomal RNA", at positions 524 to 745 of the family's 1533-position model. The record is from RNAcentral.